GAUCAUGGCUCAGGAUGAACGCUAGCUACAGGCUUAACACAUGCAAGUUGAACGGAACUUUUUUGAAGAUUUCUUUCGGAAUGAAUUUGAUUAAGUUUAGUGGCGGACGGGUGAGUAACGCGUGAGUAACCUGCCUCUAAGAGGGGAAUAACAUUCUGAAAAGAAUGCUAAUACCGCAUAAUAUAUAUUUAUCGCAUGGUAGAUAUAUCAAAGAUUUAUCGCUUAGAGAUGGACUCGCG
Molecule: ribosomal RNA, 239 nt
Filed under: uncultured bacterium
Lineage: Bacteria
Description: partial 16S ribosomal RNA
Rfam family: Bacterial small subunit ribosomal RNA
Source: RNAcentral